This 497-nucleotide ribosomal RNA is filed under the name uncultured bacterium. Its description in RNAcentral is "partial 16S ribosomal RNA". It matches the Rfam family "Bacterial small subunit ribosomal RNA", at positions 28 to 507 of the family's 1533-position model. The record is from RNAcentral.
GAUGAACGCUGGCGGCGUGCCUAAUACAUGCAAGUCGAGCGAACAGACGAGGAGCUUGCUCCUCUGACGUUAGCGGCGGACGGGUGAGUAACACGUGGAUAACCUACCUAUAAGACUGGGAUAACUUCGGGAAACCGGAGCUAAUACCGGAUAAUAUAUUGAACCGCAUGGUUCAAUAGUGAAAGACGGUUUUGCUGUCACUUAUAGAUGGAUCCGCGCCGCAUUAGCUAGUUGGUAAGGUAACGGCUUACCAAGGCAACGAUGCGUAGCCGACCUGAGAGGGUGAUCGGCCACACUGGAACUGAGGCACGGUCCAGACUCCUACGGGAGGCAGCAGUAGGGAAUCUGCCGCAAUGGGCGAAAGCCUGACGGAGCAACGCCGCGUGAGUGAUGAAGGUCUUCGGAUCGUAAAACUCUGUUAUUAGGGAAGAACAAAUGUGUAAGUAACUAUGCACGUCUUGACGGUACCUAAUCAGAAAGCCACGGCUAACUACGUG